AUGGACGCAAGUCUGAUGGAGCAACGCCGCGUGAGUGAAGAAGGGUUUCGGCUCGUAAAGCUCUGUUGGUAGUGAAGAAAGAUAGAGGUAGUAACUGGCCUUUAUUUGACGGUAAUUACUUAGAAAGUCACGGCUAACUACGUGCCAGCAGCCGCGGUAAUACGUAGGUGGCAAGCGUUGUCCGGAUUUAUUGGGCGUAAAGCGAGUGCAGGCGGUUCAAUAAGUCUGAUGUGAAAGCCUUCGGCUCAACCGGAGAAUUGCAUCAGAAACUGUUGAACUUGAGUGCAGAAGAGGAGGGUGGAACUCCAUGUGUAGCGGUGGAAUGCGUAGAUAUAUGGAAGAACACCAGUGGCGAAGGCGGCUCUCUGGUCUGCAACUGACGCUGAGGCUCGAAAGCAUGGGUAGCGAACAGGAUUAGAUACCCUGGUAGUCCAUGUCGUAAACGAUGAGUGCUAAGUGUUGGGAGGUUUCCGCCUCUCAGUGCUGCAGCUAACGCAUUAAGCACUCCGCCUGGGGAGUACGACCGCAAGGUUGAAACUCAAAGGAAUUGACGGGGGCCCGCACAAGCGGUGGAGCAUGUGGUUUAAUUCGAAGCAACGCGAAGAACCUUACCA
Molecule: ribosomal RNA, 614 nt
Filed under: Lactobacillus gasseri
Lineage: Bacteria; Bacillati; Bacillota; Bacilli; Lactobacillales; Lactobacillaceae
Description: bacterial SSU rRNA
Rfam family: Bacterial small subunit ribosomal RNA
Source: RNAcentral